RNAcentral lists this ribosomal RNA (388 nucleotides) under uncultured bacterium. RNAcentral describes it as "partial 16S ribosomal RNA". It matches the Rfam family "Bacterial small subunit ribosomal RNA", at positions 355 to 738 of the family's 1533-position model. The record is from RNAcentral.
UGGGGAAUUUUGGACAAUGGGCGAAAGCCUGAUCCAGCAAUGCCGCGUGUGUGAAGAAGGCCUUCGGGUUGUAAAGCACUUUUGUCCGGAAAGAAAUCCUUGGCUCUAAUACAGUCGGGGGAUGACGGUACCGGAAGAAUAAGCACCGGCUAACUACGUGCCAGCAGCCGCGGUAAUACGUAGGGUGCAAGCGUUAAUCGGAAUUACUGGGCGUAAAGCGUGCGCAGGCGGUUUGCUAAGACCGAUGUGAAAUCCCCGGGCUCAACCUGGGAACUGCAUUGGUGACUGGCAGGCUAGAGUAUGGCAGAGGGGGUAGAAUUCCACGUGUAGCAGUGAAAUGCGUAGAGAUGUGGAGGAAUACCGAUGGCGAAGGCAGCCCCUGGCAAGU